AGCGUGCUUGGGCGAGAGU
Molecule: small nuclear RNA, 19 nt
Filed under: Arabidopsis thaliana (thale cress)
Lineage: Eukaryota; Viridiplantae; Streptophyta; Magnoliopsida; Brassicales; Brassicaceae
Description: snRNA_14687
Source: RNAcentral